This 3127-nucleotide long non-coding RNA is filed under the name Bombyx mandarina (wild silkworm). Its description in RNAcentral is "uncharacterized LOC114251233". The record is from RNAcentral. Lineage: Eukaryota; Metazoa; Arthropoda; Insecta; Lepidoptera; Bombycidae.
UUUUUUUGGAGUUUAUGGCCUGGUAUCUAGACCUUUAGGCCAAGUCUUAAGUAUUUUUAUUCAGUUUAUUAUAAUUUCCCCACUGUAUUUUUGAUGAAUUUAUAUAGAGGCACGUAAUAGGAUCUAUUUUUUAACAUAUCACUCAGGCGGCGGGAGGGAUCUUGCACUGUCACUUGAUUUUGCACUAUGUCACUAAUUUCACUGACAAGAAUCAAUCUGUCAAACGAAAAGCACUCACAUUUAAAUAUGAAAUGUUCGAUAUCACCAACCGAAUCAUUGCAGAAGGUGCAAUAGCUGCUCUCCACUAUUCCCAACCGAGCUAGGUGGGCUGGGACGGUCGAGUGACCAAAACGCAGUCUGUUUAUAAUCGUAAUAAAGUCCCGACUGGCCAUUUUCAGUUUGUUAUACCAUGGUGCUACAGUACAAUGAGAGGCAGAAUUGGGAAAGAACCUCGUAAAAGCUCACCUCCCGAAGUCUGCUGGGCUGAGCAUUGUACAGGAAAAGAUCUGACAAGAGAGAGAUGAAGCUGUCAGCACAACUUCGCCCUCUCCGGAAGCCAUAUUGAACAUGUGGAAUGAUGUUGUUCACCUCUACAUAAGACUCAAGACGCAUCUUUAUCAUGUUUUCAUUAAGCUUUCCAACACAAGAUGACAGUGAUAUGGGACGAUAUGAGUUAGGGUCUUCAGGUGGUUUGUCAUGCUUAAGUAGAGGGAUUACACACUGUGUUUUCCAAGAUUCAGGAAUUUUUUUUAAGUGCCAAAGAGCAUUAAGAUUAGCUAAUAGUUUCUUUUGAACGGACUGAUUUAGGUUUUUGAUUAAAAUAUAUGGACAAUCAUCUAAACCAGGGGUUGUGUUUCGUCUGGAUUGUAAACUUGUACAAAACUCACUCCAAGUAAAGGGCUCUAUGAGGAAACUGGACUUUUGAAGACUAUUAUUAAUUUGAAAAUAACUUUCUAGAUUAUCAAUAACCCUACAUCCAUUCUGAGAUAAUUUUUCUAAGAGAGGGACAACAAAUUCGUCUUUAUAUGUUCUAUUAUUGCAUUUUAUUCGUUUAAAUAACUUGAUGUAUUUCCAAAUAAUACUAACAGGUGUAGUUCUGUUAAAAGUAUUACAGAUGUUCGCCCAACCAUUGCGUUUAUGUUCUGAAAUAGUCUUUUUCUUAACAGCAUCAAGUUUUUUAUAAUUAAUGUAAUUAUCAAUGGUUGGAUGUCUUCUGUAUAGUUUUAAAGCUUCAUAAGUUUUAAUAACACUCUGUUCACAUGUGUCACUCCACCAAGGUGCUGGAGGUUUGCAACGAUAGUUAUUUGCUUUGACAAACUUUGGCACAGUAUCCCUCUUAAGUGUAUCAAGCCUUUCGAUAAAUUCGUCAUAUGACUGUAAUGGAUUCUCAUUAUUAACUUCAAAGUUAGAAAAAGCAGUUAAAGAUAGCUCAUUGUAUUUCGUCCAGUCUGUCUUGUUGUAUAAGAAUUUUUCAAUGGGAGGAUUAAUUUGGUAUCUAUCAACGGACAAUAAAACACGAGUAAGCGUAGGAAAAUGAUAGCUCCCCAUAGAAUCAUCAUGCACCCACCAUUCGCAUAGUGGAGUGAUUGGAGCACUACAAAAACUGACAUCAAUAGCCGAUGGAUUUCGGUUAGGAUAAUUAAUAGUAGUGAAGCUACCAUUGUUAAGGACACAUAGAUCAAAUUCAUCAAUUAAAUCGUAUAACUGAUGACCCCGACUUUUCGUGGUCAUACACCCAAAUGCCACAUGGUGAGCGUUGAAAUCUCCAGCCACAUAUAUUGGCUUAGGCAAAUCUCUAAUUAUAUUACGCAGUUUACUUAUUCUGAAGCUACCAUUCGAGGGAGGACAGUAUACACAUAAAAUCGUUAAGUGGUUACCACUUACAUAUAACGAUAAUGCCACAGUCUGAAUGUCUUGGUAAAAUCUGGUUUGAAUAAUAUUAUAUUUAAAAUACGGUUUGAUCAAAAUUGCUACUCCACCAUGCUCAUUUUGAGCAUUAUGAUAGUGGGAAUUAUAUCCCGAAAUUUUAAAAUGCUGAGUAUCUUUCAGCCAAGUUUCAUUGAGUAGACAGAUAUCAACAUUUUGCUCAGCUAAAAAUUUAGACAAUAAAGGUUUUUUUCUAUGUAUACUUUGAAUAUUGUAUUGAGCGAUACAUAACUGCUGUAUGUUCUGUACUGUACUAUCCAUUAAUGUGACAGAUUUUUUAAAAGUAAGUCUUUUAUGAACAGUGUAGUCACCGGUUCAUUAUCUGUUUUAUUACCCAAUUCAACUAAAGUUUGGACCAUUGCCAUCAGAAUAUUCUUAUUGUUUGCAAUUUGAGCCUUAAGUUGAGUUUGGUUCAAGUUGGGUUCAGGCACUGUUUUAUUUACAUUAUUUACAAUUUUUACAUUUUUAUUUAAUUUAUGUACACUUUGGUUUAUUGAUGGCAGGGUCUUAACAAUGCUGCUCGACUGUGUAGGUAAAGAUGGAAAAUCAGAUGUCAUAAUUGUAUUAGCCACAGAGGCAUAAGUAAUGUUACCCUUCUUUUCAAGUAUUUUUUUCAUUUUUAUUGGGCAAGAUUUGGAAAUGGCCAGGUGAGGGCCACUGCAAUUGACACAACACAAGUUCUCUUUUUUAUCACAGUCUCUGAAAUUAUGUUCCCCAGCACAUAUCGAGCAACGUUGUUUACCAUUACAAAUUUUCGCAGGGUGGUUGAACUUGAAGCACCGGAAGCAUUGCUGCAACGGCGGGACAUAUUCAAACACCCUGAACGAAAAUAGGUCAUAUUGGAUGUUGUCGGGCAGAACAUUUGAUAGGAAAGUUAUACUAACAGUCUCAAGACCUACAGUACUUUGACCGACUUUUUUCGUGAAUCUUCUCACUGAAAUAAUUUCAUAGAUCGAAGACAGUUUUGUAUAUAAGUCCUUGUUCGAAAUGUUGGUAGGCACAUAUCGGAUGAUUCCAGUUUUUUCUAUUUGCGCUGCAGGAAUAUGCGCCUUCAAGUUGUGCUUUGUUAAAAAGUCUGUAUUUGUGAUGAAAUUAUUUGCAGUGUUGUAUUGCUUAAAAACAACUGCAAUUUUGUUGGCAUUGACUCUAUGUAAAGCUACUACACCUUUCACUUCCGAAGUAAAAAUAUGAUUCAAGUAAA